Molecule: long non-coding RNA, 2555 nt
Filed under: Mus caroli (Ryukyu mouse)
Lineage: Eukaryota; Metazoa; Chordata; Mammalia; Rodentia; Muridae
Description: lncRNA (MGP_CAROLIEiJ_G0005572.1)
Source: RNAcentral
CAAAGGACUAAAAGUUUUGUUAUCAUAUGACUGAUUAAAAGUAUUAUCCAUGCACAUCAUUUUAAAUGAGCAUUUCUAUAUAUAUCAAACAAAGAACAUGGUAUAUUAUAAAUGAGUUUGAUAAGUAUUUUUGUUUGCUCUCUGAUCCAUAUGAAAAUCCAUAUUUGAGCUAUGAGCUCACAGUACAAAAUAAGAAAUUUUAUAUUUUUGUUUAGAGUUAUAAGCUUCAAUUUUAGAACUAUGCACUUCAAGCAAUAGACUGGUGUUUAGAGAGAGUAAAACGAUCUUCUCACUCAAAAAUGCAAUGAGACUUCUUAAUGAGAAGUUGUCUGGCUAUAAAAGAAUGAAUGAAUGAACAAUCUCAUAUGUAUGCAACUUGCAAGAAUUUUAGAGUUAUAUAGGUGUGGCACAGGCAAAAUGCAUAUUGCAUUGCAAGACUUCCCUCAGAGUCUUUCCUCCUUAUUUCACUGCAAAGCAUAAUACACAAACACCAAACUUUUCAUGUCACAAGCUGCACACAUAGAAAUUCAAUAAAACAUUCAGUUGGAAGCCUAUAGGAUAAGUUAUUCAUUCUUUUGCUAUAGGUCCUUGUUUUCCAAAGUUUAGUUUUUAAAUUUUUUUAAGAUAACCUAGAAGAAAACUUAAUAAGGCAAAAACAAUAUAAUUCAUUUAUUUUACCAUAACCCAAACAGUGUAUGUGAGAAAUUUAGCAGUGAACUAACUCAUUUAAGGUUGGAAAAGAAAAUGAAAGGUUCGGAAUCCAUCUACUCAAAUAGUUGUAGUCCCUCUCCAGAGGUUAAGAUUUAGUCUAUGUCUUCCCUAUACUUAUUUGGGAACUAAAUUCUCCCACAGAUUCUGUUACUGUGAAAAGUAGAGAAAAAAAAAAUUUUUUUUUAAUUGCCAGCCAGUGCAUCUCUGAAAAGUACUGCUGGGUUUAUGGAGACAUGCAACAGGGCACUCAAACACUAUAGAUGACAUUUCAACCCUCAGUACUUCAGCACUACAUCAGUGGCCACCUUCAAUGGCCCUUUGCCCUACUCAAUCGUCGGCCUGGGGUAGGGGGCACCUAUACAAUCAGUAUCUGGUGGUUAAAAAAGAAACAGUCUAUUUUUAAAGAAAGGAUAAUUUUGUACCUUGUAGGCGUCGUCCCAUUAAACCUAAGUAUGCACCAGUACAAGUGACCAUUCCCUCUCCUUGGAAGACACCAGCAAGGGUUUAAAAGCAAAGCGACGCCGCCAGGAAAGCAUGAGGGAGACAACACGGAAGACGUGAAGCUGCCGGAGCUAGCGGAGGCGGUUGGGAAGAACCCACUGCGCUGCUUCCGCGGGUCGCAGAGGCGAGAGAGCAGCGCUCAGGGACUGCUGCCAUCCUAGACACCUCGAGCUCCGGCUGCCUGACCAGCCGGCUGUGCUCUGGUUUCCCCUGCAGCCACCCAAACCUAGGCGCCACCAGGGGACAGGGUGUUCGCAUCUUCAAAACCAUCGCGGCCCAGAGAGCACUUUUGUUCUGGCUUCCGGCGCGUCUUUCCCUAUUGCGGGCUCGGACACAGCCCAGAACCGGCGCGCACACGCGCACACACCCUCGCACACGCACACACGCGCGCACACAGACUUCUUGGCCAGCGUUGCCAUCACACACCCGGGGUACGCCACCGAGGGGGCCAAGUACCUGCUCUCUGCGAGCUGUUGUGCUGUUCACUUCAUCCUCCGUUGACAAGGAAACCAAACCGCACUUCAUUUUUUUUUUUUCCAGAAAAACCUUCCACUGCCAUGGUUUGAAAAUUGAUUUACGGGGAGGGGAGAAGGAGGAACAAGGGAUAAUAUAGAUAUCAGGAUAUCUAUCAUAAAAUUAUCUCGGGUUUUUUAAAUAAAAAAGUCAAAUGUGCAAAAGUAAUAGUUAAUGUAAAGGAGGAAAAAAGCAAUUGCUUAAAAAUAACCCCUUUAACUAGCUGCAAGAAAAGUUUCAUGUUAUCAACUGAUAUCAAAAACAGGAGGGGAAAAAACGAAAUAUUUCUCACAGGCUUCCAAAAAGGUCAUAAAAAUGCAAAAUGAAUGUCUUUGCUCAGUGGUGCGAAUCGAAUUGCAAGGCGACAAACUUGUGAACACUGCUGGAAAAUCCCACCUACACAAAAAUGCAAUCGGAAAAAGAGUACGUAAAAAAAGAGUUAGAAACAUGCUUUCUUAUCUUUACAAAGGGAAAAAAAAUAGGCACCAUACUUCACAACGCUUUUUCCAUAAAACCAGUUGCACAUUUUGCUGGACUUGGGAGCCGCUCACAGAGAGCACCGCUGCCGCGGACUCCCAGACACAGCGCCUUGUCUAGAGAACCAUCGCAUGCUAGGAAAACUUGAUUGAGGAAAAGGCUUAAGACUAUGCUCGUCAGCUUUCCCAAAUACAAACAAUAAUCAAAGAAGUGGGAAGAAAAAAAAGAAGAAGAAGAAGAAAAAAACAAAAAACAAAAACAAAAAAAAGGAAAAAAAAAAGAAUAGGACAAGAAUGCCACUGAGAAGGUACUCACCGAGCGGGAGUAAAAUGUUGGAAUAAAAAUGAGAUUUA